Molecule: ribosomal RNA, 497 nt
Filed under: uncultured bacterium
Lineage: Bacteria
Description: partial 16S ribosomal RNA
Rfam family: Bacterial small subunit ribosomal RNA
Source: RNAcentral
GACGAACGCUGGCGGCGUGCCUAAUACAUGCAAGUUGAGCGCUGAAGGUUGGUACUUGUACCAACUGGAUGAGCAGCGAACGGGUGAGUAACGCGUGGGGAAUCUGCCUUUGAGCGGGGGACAACAUUUGGAAACGAAUGCUAAUACCGCAUAAAAACUUUAAACACAAGUUUUAAGUUUGAAAGAUGCAAUUGCAUCACUCAAAGAUGAUCCCGCGUUGUAUUAGCUAGUUGGUGAGGUAAAGGCUCACCAAGGCGAUGAUACAUAGCCGACCUGAGAGGGUGAUCGGCCACAUUGGGACUGAGACACGGCCCAAACUCCUACGGGAGGCAGCAGUAGGGAAUCUUCGGCAAUGGACGAAAGUCUGACCGGGCAACGCCGCGUGAGUGAAGAAGGGUUUCGGAUCGUAAAACUCUGUUGGUAGAGAAGAACGUUGGUGAGAGUGGAAAGCUCAUCAAGUGACGGUAACUACCCAGAAAGGGACGGCUAACUACGUG